GUCAAGCACUCUGGAGAGAGCGGUUGAAUCCGCCGCCGAAGGGGCACGAGGUGCGCUCAUUGCGCCUCCAAACUCUCAGGCAAAAGGACAGAGGGGCGCCC
Molecule: non-coding RNA, 101 nt
Filed under: Rhodanobacter spathiphylli
Lineage: Bacteria; Pseudomonadati; Pseudomonadota; Gammaproteobacteria; Lysobacterales; Rhodanobacteraceae
Also listed under: 1 other name
Description: Rhodanobacter sp. Glycine sequence
Rfam family: Glycine riboswitch aptamer
About the family: This family represents the bacterial glycine riboswitch. Glycine riboswitches usually consist of two metabolite-binding aptamers domains with similar structures in tandem. The aptamers cooperatively bind glycine to regulate the expression of downstream genes.
Source: RNAcentral